UAACCACCGGAAGUGGGGAGUGUGAACGUAAACGUUGAGAAUACCGCGACAGAAUGUGUAUAUCCUCUCAUGAUAGCUUCAGAUUACUCCCUAGUGUGUAUCCCUCAGAAAGCAAUGACUUUUUCAUCGCACCAAAAUAUAAGACAAAAUGCAUCUGGGAACCAUUUGACUUGGACUCCAUACUGCAAUCAGUCAAGCGAGACCCCCCCCACGCUGUCUCUUUAACUGCUGCCUCUGUAAAUGCAUCACAAAGCUGCAGCUGGCCCUCGCUUACUGGAGAGACACAGGUGGGUUUGGUGGAUUCAACGUGCGCGGCGCGGCUGUCACAACAGAGCGCAGGGUUCACAU
Molecule: long non-coding RNA, 348 nt
Organism: Solea solea (common sole)
Lineage: Eukaryota; Metazoa; Chordata; Actinopteri; Pleuronectiformes; Soleidae
Exons: 3
Source: RefSeq, a predicted model, not a curated record